This 667-nucleotide ribosomal RNA is filed under the name uncultured bacterium. Its description in RNAcentral is "bacterial SSU rRNA". It matches the Rfam family "Bacterial small subunit ribosomal RNA", at positions 140 to 805 of the family's 1533-position model. The record is from RNAcentral.
GGGAUAGCCUUGCGAAAGUAAGAUUAAUACCCGGCGGUCUCGGACGGCCGCAUGACUGUCCGAGUGAAGAUUUAUCGGUAUGAGAUGGCGAUGCGUCCCAUUAGCUUGUUGGUGAGGUAACGGCUCACCAAGGCAUCGAUGGGUAGGGGUUCUGAGAGGAAGGUCCCCCACAUUGGAACUGAGACACGGUCCAAACUCCUACGGGAGGCAGCAGUGAGGAACAUUGGUCAAUGGACGAAAGUCUGAACCAGCCAAGUAGCGUGCAGGAUGACGGCCCUCUGGGUUGUAAACUGCUUUUAGUUGGGAAUAAAAAGAGGGACGUGUCCCUUAUUGUAUGUACCAUCAGAAAAAGGACCGGCUAAUUCCGUGCCAGCAGCCGCGGUAAUACGGAAGGUCCAGGCGUUAUCCGGAUUUAUUGGGUUUAAAGGGAGCGCAGGCGGCGGCGUAAGUCAGUUGUGAAAUCGUGCGGCUUAACCGUGCAAUUGCAGUUGAUACUGCGUCGCUUGAGUGCACACAGGGAUGUUGGAAUUCAUGGUGUAGCGGUGAAAUGCUUAGAUAUCAUGAAGAACUCCGAUCGCGAAGGCAUAUGUCCGGAGUGCAACUGACGCUGAGGCUCGAAAGUGUGGGUAUCAAACAGGAUUAGAUACCCUGGUAGUCCACACAGUAA